This is a long non-coding RNA of Ailuropoda melanoleuca (giant panda), 544 nucleotides long. RefSeq lists it as uncharacterized. The transcript is spliced from 4 exons. NCBI's taxonomy places the organism in Eukaryota, Metazoa, Chordata, Mammalia, Carnivora, Ursidae. The record is from RefSeq and is a predicted model, not a curated record.
CCCCAAGGCAAAGUUGGCCACUCUUUGAGCAUGGCUUCCAAUAGGCACCGGUACGCCCCCCACCACCAUUGACAGAAGGCCCGUAUUAAAGCUGGUAGUUACCGGAUGAGGCGCAUGAGGAAAGGGGUGAGAAGAAAAAUGAUUCCACAAAAACCACGAGAGCCCAAAGGCCUUUCUGCUUCUGCCAGAAACAAGUUCCGGAGAAGACAAAGCUCCUGAUUCACGUGCUCUCUGGGAACCAAAUCGGACUGUGCCUUGGAGAGAAGGAGCCAGAAGCCAUUCAGCCAGCAGACCUUCACUGAGUGCCUGCUGUGGGCCAGUCAUCAUGUGGGGAGAAUCACGUAACAGGAAGCAGACAGGACCUGGGCCCUUGAGCUCCCAGGCCAGUGGAGGAGACGUGAGAGUUCUCGAACACCUGGUUUUUUUUUUCUUAGUCCUUCAAUGCUGGUGCUCCCCAGGGUUCUGUCUUGGUAUUCUCCCGCAAGGCCAUCCUACAUCAUGCCGACAAUGAGUCUGAAUUUCCAAAGAAACCCUGCUUCUUGGA